UGGCUCAGUUGACAGAGCAUGGUGUUUGCAACGCCAGCAUGGUGUGUGCAACGCCAGGGUUGUGGGUUCGAUUCCCAC
This 78-nucleotide transfer RNA is filed under the name Salmo salar (Atlantic salmon). Lineage: Eukaryota; Metazoa; Chordata; Actinopteri; Salmoniformes; Salmonidae. The record is from Rfam by way of RNAcentral.